AUUGAACGCUGGCGGAAUGCUUUACACAUGCAAGUCGAACGGCAGCACGGGGCAACCUGGUGGCGAGUGGCGAACGGGUGAGUAAUACAUCGGAACGUGCCCAAUCGUGGGGGAUAACGUAGCGAAAGCUACGCUAAUACCGCAUACGAUCUACGGAUGAAAGCGGGGGAUCGCAAGACCUCGCGCGAAUGGAGCGGCCGAUGGCAGAUUAGGUAGUUGGUGGGGUAAAGGCUCACCAAGCCUGCGAUCUGUAGCUGGUCUGAGAGGACGACCAGCCACACUGGAACUGAGACACGGUCCAGACUCCUACGGGAGGCAGCAGUGGGGAAUUUUGGACAAUGGGCGCAAGCCUGAUCCAGCCAUUCCGCGUGCAGGAUGAAGGCCCUCGGGUUGUAAACUGCUUUUGUACGGAACGAAAAGGCUUUCUCUAAUACAGGGGGGCUCAUGACGGUACCGUAAGAAUAAGCACCGGCUAACUACGUGCCAGCAGCCGC
This 494-nucleotide ribosomal RNA is filed under the name uncultured bacterium. RNAcentral's name for it is "bacterial SSU rRNA". It matches the Rfam family "Bacterial small subunit ribosomal RNA", at positions 30 to 518 of the family's 1533-position model. The record is from RNAcentral.